GACGAACGCUGGCGGCGUGCUUAACACAUGCAAGUCGAACGGAAAGGCCCUGCUUUUGUGGGGUGCUCGAGUGGCGAACGGGUGAGUAACACGUGAGUAACCUGCCCUUGACUUUGGGAUAACUUCAGGAAACUGGGGCUAAUACCGGAUAGGAGCUCCUGCUGCAUGGUGGGGGUUGGAAAGUUUCGGCGGUUGGGGCUGGACUCGCGGCUUAUCAGCUUGUUGGUGGGGUAGUGGCUUACCAAGGCUUUGACGGGUAGCCGGCCUGAGAGGGUGACCGGCCACAUUGGGACUGAGAUACGGCCCAGACUCCUACGGGAGGCAGCAGUGGGGAAUAUUGCACAAUGGGCGGAAGACUGAUGCAGCAACGCCGCGUGCGGGAUGACGGCCUUCGGGUUGUAAACAGCUUUGGCCUGUGACGAAGCGUGAGUGACGGUAAUGGGUAAAGAAGCACCGGCUAACUACGUG
RNAcentral lists this ribosomal RNA (468 nucleotides) under uncultured bacterium. RNAcentral describes it as "partial 16S ribosomal RNA". It matches the Rfam family "Bacterial small subunit ribosomal RNA", at positions 28 to 507 of the family's 1533-position model. The record is from RNAcentral.